GACGAACGCUGGCGGCGUGCUUAACACAUGCAAGUCGAACGGAAAGGCCCUGCUUUUGUGGGGUGCUCGAGUGGCGAACGGGUGAGUAACACGUGAGUAACCUGCCCUUGACUUUGGGAUAACUUCAGGAAACUGGGGCUAAUACCGGAUAGGAGCUCCUGCUGCAUGGUGGGGGUUGGAAAGUUUCGGCGGUUGGGGAUGGACUCGCGGCUUAUCAGCUUGUUGGUGGGGUAGUGGCUUACCAAGGCUUUGACGGGUAGCCGGCCUGAGAGGGUGACCGGCCACAAUGGGACUGAGAUACGGCCCAGACUCCUACGGGAGGCAGCAGUGGGGAAUAUUGCACAAUGGGCGGAAGCCAGAUGCAGCAACGCCGCGUGCGGGAUGACGGCCUUCGGGUUGUAAACCGCUUUCGCCUGUGACGAAGCGUGAGUGACGGUAAUUGGUAAAGAAGCACCGGCUAACUACGUG
RNAcentral lists this ribosomal RNA (468 nucleotides) under uncultured bacterium. Its description in RNAcentral is "partial 16S ribosomal RNA". It matches the Rfam family "Bacterial small subunit ribosomal RNA", at positions 28 to 507 of the family's 1533-position model. The record is from RNAcentral.